UGCCCCCUGAUAAUUAAUUAAAGGGCUGCAGUAUUUUGACUGUACAAAGGUAGCAUAAUCAUUAGUCAUUUAAUUGAUGACUUGUAUGAAAGAUUUGAUGAGAUAUAAACUGUCUUAAGUUUAAAUUAUAAAAUUUAAUUUUUUAGUUAAAAAGCUAAAAUAUAUUAAAAAGACGAGAAGACCCUAUAGAGUUUUAUUAAUUUAUAAAUUAAUUAAUUUAUUUUAAUUUAUAUUAAUAAUUUAUAUUUUAAUUUUGUUGGGGUGAUAGAAAAAUUUAAAUAACUUUUUUUUUUCAUUUACAUUAAUAUAUGUUUAUUUGAUCCAUUAUUGAUGAUUAAAAGAAAAAAUUACCUUAGGGAUAACAGCGUAAUUUUUUUUUUUAGUUCAUAUAAAAAAAAAAGUUUGCGACCUCGAUGUUGGAUUAAAAUAAAAUUUAAAUGUAGAAGUUUAAAAUUUUUG
Molecule: ribosomal RNA, 459 nt
Filed under: Euproctis sp. H402
Lineage: Eukaryota; Metazoa; Arthropoda; Insecta; Lepidoptera; Erebidae
Description: partial large subunit ribosomal RNA
Source: RNAcentral